UGGCACCGUAUAAACGGAAAC
RNAcentral lists this non-coding RNA (21 nucleotides) under Caenorhabditis elegans. Lineage: Eukaryota; Metazoa; Nematoda; Chromadorea; Rhabditida; Rhabditidae. The record is from RNAcentral.